GACGAACGCUGGCGGCGUGCUUAACACAUGCAAGUCGAACGGAAAGGCCUGCUUUCCCUUGUGGAUUGCGGGUACUCGAGUGGCGAACGGGUGAGUAACACGUGAGUGAUCUGCCCCCAACUUGGGUAUAAGCCUGGGAAACUGGGUCUAAUUCCCGAUAGGACUGCAGGGUGGUGCCUGUGGUGGAAAACGAUUUUCUAGUGGUUGGGGAUGAGCUCGCGGCCUAUCAGCUUGUUGGUGGGGUAAUGGCCUACCAAGGCGGCGACGGGUAGCCGGCCUGAGAGGGUGGACGGCCACAUUGGGACUGAGCUACGGCCCAGACUCCUACGGGAGGCAGCAGUGGGGAAUAUUGCACAAUGGGCGGAAGCCUGAUGCAGCGACGCCGCGUGGGGGAUGACGGCCUUCGGGUUGUAAACUCCUUUCGACCGCGAGGAAGCCACCUGGUUGGAAGGGUGGUGACGGUAGUGGUAGAAGAAGCACCGGCUAACUACGUG
RNAcentral lists this ribosomal RNA (494 nucleotides) under uncultured bacterium. Its description in RNAcentral is "partial 16S ribosomal RNA". It matches the Rfam family "Bacterial small subunit ribosomal RNA", at positions 28 to 507 of the family's 1533-position model. The record is from RNAcentral.